Molecule: ribosomal RNA, 309 nt
Filed under: Dentiscutata erythropus
Lineage: Eukaryota; Fungi; Glomeromycota; Glomeromycetes; Diversisporales; Gigasporaceae
Description: partial 25S ribosomal RNA
Source: RNAcentral
UUUGAAGGGAACGAUUGAAGUCAGUCAUGCCGGCGGGAAUCAACUUAGGGGAAACUUUAAGUGCACUUCACGUUUGGCAGGUCAGCAUCGAUUUUGGAUGUCAUAAAAUGAUUGGGGGAAGGUAGCUCCUUCGGGAGUGUUAUAGCCCUUGGUAGAUGUGAUGUCUGGGAUCGAGGAUUGCAACGGAUACCCUUUGGGCUAGCCGCCUGAUCUCUAACUGGUGUUGGGUUACGGACAGCAUGCUGACCGUGAUUUAAUUAUUGGUUAAAAGGUUAGAGCGAGUGUAAAUUCGUUAAGGAUGUUGACGUA